Molecule: long non-coding RNA, 782 nt
Organism: Herpailurus yagouaroundi (jaguarundi)
Lineage: Eukaryota; Metazoa; Chordata; Mammalia; Carnivora; Felidae
Exons: 4
Source: RefSeq, a predicted model, not a curated record
ACUGCAAACCGCAAAGGCAGGACCAGAAUCCAGAUCUGUCCAUGCCAAGGCCCGUCCGGAGCUUCCCCCUCACAGCCAGGAGGAUGAGGAGGGUCCAGAAGGGCCCGCACAAAGGGAUCUUAUGAACGGGGGGGCGUGCAACCGCCUCCUCUUGGUUUCCGGCGGAGAAAGGGAAGCCCAGAGAAGGUAUUUAAAACUCUAUUCAAGCUUAUUUUUUAAAAAGGUACCAACAGACUCAAGAGGUCGGUCGCAUGUUUGUUUCUUUAGACGACAUCAACUCUCUGUUAUGAAGAGACUGACACGCUUAUAUUUCCCUUUCCCACCCCCAAUUUACUAGUUAUAUUAUUAAGGCUUAUAUCUCGUGCAGUCUGAAUCUACAAUGCAAUUCCCAGUUCGGCCUUCGUUCUUUAUGUAAAUUCAAUGCACAUCACCUGCCGUUUUGUUACAAGCUCCUCCGUUAUUGAGCUAUUUGAUUCGCCUUUUCUAUCAAGCGGUUUCCUCAAGAAGGGCUUGUGGGUGUUGUUUUCCCUGAGUUUUGCACUCUUCACAUUGUAUUUGACAACGUGGCUGGCAAUCACCUACUUAGUCACUCUUUUUCAACUACGUCGAACUUUGGAGAUAUUUCUCCAUUACCUCCUGGCAUUGAAUCUUGUGGUAGAGAAGUUUAAGACCCUUGGCUGGCUUGCUUUUUCGGCCUCAAUUUUUUUCAGGCUUGAAGUUUAUGGACUCCAUCGGGUUAUAUUUUCGUGUCAAGUGCUUUCUCUCAGAUUGCCUAGAAUAUA